Molecule: transfer RNA, 74 nt
Filed under: Candidatus Giovannonibacteria bacterium RIFCSPLOWO2_02_FULL_43_11b
Lineage: Bacteria; Candidatus Giovannoniibacteriota
Description: tRNA-Ala
Rfam family: tRNA
About the family: Transfer RNA (tRNA) molecules are approximately 80 nucleotides in length.
Source: RNAcentral
GGGCCCGUAGUUCAGUGGUAAAACGGCCGGUUUGCAUCCGGCAAACGGGAGUCCGAUUCUCCCCGGGUCCACAA